RNAcentral lists this ribosomal RNA (497 nucleotides) under uncultured bacterium. RNAcentral's name for it is "partial 16S ribosomal RNA". It matches the Rfam family "Bacterial small subunit ribosomal RNA", at positions 28 to 507 of the family's 1533-position model. The record is from RNAcentral.
GAUGAACGCUGGCGGCGUGCCUAAUACAUGCAAGUCGAGCGAACGGACGAGAAGCUUGCUUUUCUGAUGUUAGCGGCGGACGGGUGAGUAACACGUGGAUAACCUACCUAUAAGACUGGGAUAACUUCGGGAAACCGGAGCUAAUACCGGAUAAUAUUUUGAACCGCAUGGUUCAAAAGUGAAAGACGGUCUUGCUGUCACUUAUAGAUGGAUCCGCGCUGCAUUAGCUAGUUGGUAAGGUAACGGCUUACCAAGGCAACGAUGCAUAGCGGACCUGAGAGGGUGAUCGGCCACACUGGAACUGAGACACGGUCCAGACUCCUACGGGAGGCAGCAGUAGGGAAUCUUCCGCAAUGGGCGAAAGCCUGACGGAGCAACGCCGCGUGAGUGAUGAAGGUCUUCGGAUCGUAAAACUCUGUUAUUAGGGAAGAACAAAUGUGUAAGUAACUGUGCACAUCUUGACGGUACCUAAUCAGAAAGCCACGGCUAACUACGUG